This 2330-nucleotide long non-coding RNA is filed under the name Homo sapiens (human). RNAcentral describes it as "non-protein coding NUTM2B-AS1:2". Lineage: Eukaryota; Metazoa; Chordata; Mammalia; Primates; Hominidae. The record is from RNAcentral.
CUCUGCUCCCAGCGAGGGACGCUGGCCUUCUCGCGGCUUUCCCCCGAUAUCUCUCUUUAUUCCAGCUGCCUGAAACUCGGUCCCACGAAUGGCAGGCAGCGUCCAAAAUUCAACCCCGUAAAGCCAGCACCAGCCAAUAAAGCGCACGGAUGGAGGCCACGUGACAGCAGUGGGCCGGCCCUCCGGCUGAGCCCUGAUCUCUAUGGUUUCCGCGGCUCGCUAGAAGGAGUGUGGUCCACCGGAGGACUCCCUACAUUCUUCCUCCAUUACCUCACUGCCUCCGGUGGCUGCUGGGAUACCGGAGGACUCGGGUCCCGGCUCGACUCAGUCCUCCAGCCGCCCGGGGAAUACCUCUAGUUCUUCCCGGCCGCCGCCGCCGCCGCCGCCCCGCCGCUUCCUCCUCCGCCUGCCGGCCUCCUUCGCCCCGUCCCGUCCGCGCAGCGCGUCCGGCCCGCCCGCAGGCCAGCUUCUCUCGGGAGCCCCCACCCAGGCGCAUGGCUCCAUGAAGCAAGAGGAGGAGGCAGAGCGCGAGAGGUCCCGUCCGCCCCAGCCGCGUCUGGGCCAGGAUAAAAGCAAAACCAUAUUCCUGCUGCUGUCAGUUAUGAUGCACUGAGAAAACUUCAGAGACCUAAACUUUUUCCAGAGAAGAGAAGCUUUACUGGUGUUCCAGCCCUAAGAAACCUUUGUUCAAGAAAACGGCAGAUGCUCUGUUGAAUCCACUGGAGAUUGUUCUGAUACUAAGGACAAGUAUCAACCAUCUUUCCUGUGAAAAAUUCCCUCUCGUACUUUAGUUCUGUGGAUCCAAAAUUUAUAGCAUUCUUCUACCACCACAGGGGCUCAUAUGACAUUAACAGACAAGACACUUUUCAGAAAGACAGGUUGUUCUUUUGGGCCACAUCUAAGAAAUCUUUGUCUAGCCAAAAGCCACAAAUAAUUUCUCAUUUUUUGGCUUCUGGAAGAUGUACAGUUAAAUGUUAUAUUUGGGACUGUUAUCUAAUUUGAUUAAAUUGCACUCUACAAUAUGAUAUUUGAAUUGAUGAAAAAUUAGUAAAUGUUAAUAUUUUUUAAAGUAGCCAAAUCUUGCAAUUUAUAUAUAAUAGAGAAGACUAGAAAAUCCCCCAUAUUUAUUUCCUCUUACUUCGUACUACUAAAAUUUGUAUUUAGGCAUUUGGUUUCUCAGAUAAACAUUACAUUCCCCAGUAUAUGGUUCUAUCUGGCUUGGUGACGACAUGUUGAACAUUAAGAUGUGAGCAGAAGUAAUACAUACACACUCUUUUUCAUGUCUUUAAUUGAAUGGGAUAUUGGCCCAUUUUUUCUUCCAGUUUAUUACACUGAAUAUUGACAUGUUAUUUUCCAAUAUUGAGACAAUCAAUGACAAGACUUUAAGAGUAACAAUGUAAAAAUACAGAAGUUGUCUGAGUUUAUCAACAAUCCCCUGGAUUAGAACCCCCUACCAGUUCUAGGUCAUCUAAUAUAUAGACAUUGUGUUCAGUAGAAAUAAAUAUAUAUAUUUUUUAUUAUGCUUUAAGUUCUAGGAUACAUGUGCACAACAUGCAGGUUUGUUACAUUGGUAUACACGUGCCAUGUUGGUUUGCUGCACCCAUUAACUCAUCAUUUACAUUAGGUAUUUCUCCUAAUGCUAUCCCUCCCCCUGCCCCCACCCCCCGACAGGCCCUGGGGUGUGAUUUUCCCCACCCUGUGUCCAAGUGUUCUCAUUGCUCAAUUCCCACCUAUGGGAAUACAUUUUUAAAUCAUUUUUGAAGGUGUUAUUACAUUCUGAUUGAACAUUUUCAGAAAGAAUAAAUCAUUUAAUACAAGAAGUGGGCCACUUCAUGUAACAAAACAAACCACCACUACAGCAACAACAACAAAAAACACAAAUGAAUGUGACUUUAGCUUUGCAACAUCGUGACAGACUAGCAAGUUAAUGACAUUUGUUAUGCCAUAGAAAAUAUUUGUUGAAUUGCCACUCUAAUGACUUUAUAUCAGCCAACUCAUUAUCAACACUAGAAAAGAUGAUUAAAAAAUACUUCAGUACGUUCACGUGUUGGCUUGUUAACAUUUUUAAGAGUCUAUAAGAGAAAAAUGCAUCCAAUCUCGACAAAAAUAUUUUUCAAGUAUCUUGUAGGUACGUACAACUAACUACCUUGUGAACAAAAGUCACUAUAUAAUUAUAUAAUUUCUGACACUUAAAAAAGAUUAUUGUGCAAAAGAAGAUAUAUGUUCUAAUACCAAAUCCACAUAUAAAAUAAUUGACUUAUUUAAAUAAUUUAAGAUGCUCUUUUAUAUAUUUAUAUUAAAAACUUUACAGAGAAUAAAAAAAGCAUUAU